CGCAGAAGGUCAAAGCCAGAUCAAAUAGAGAAGAGGAGGUCAGUCAGUUCAGUCUGGGCCGGGAAGAGCACACAUGGCAGCGGAACGACACACUGUAGGAGGGUGGAGAUGAGUCAAUGAGAUCAUCAGGAACGAUCUGUCAAGCAUCUCCGUCCACAGCCAUGCAUAGUUUACUGUCACCCUCACAACUGACAUGGGAAACAAAAGUAAAGGGAAUCACCAAGCAACAUCUGACAUUGUGCUUUUCAUGCUUGGACUACAGCAUGCAGGAAGCAGCAAAAGGAAGAGCAAGGAGAACAAAUGUAAAUUUAUUGUCCAGAUGACCAGGGUCCAAUGUGUGCCUUGUUUUUCAUAUAUAAUGCCUUUACACAGAAAUUAUCCAAGAAAUACAUCACAUGACUGACUUUUCUAAGACAUGGAAAUUGAGUAUGUACCAACCAAGCCUGCCAUCCCCAACCCAAAGUAUGCUUUUAGAGGACCAAAAAUGUUUUUAUACGUCUUUUUUGCUGCAGUUUGUAAAUGAUUCAGUGCCUAUGAUUUAUGUCAUUUGUAUAUACAGUAUCUGUAGUGCUUCAGUUGCAUAUCUGGCUUUACAGAGAGACGGUUUAAAAGAGAAGUGCCUUUUUGACUGGAAACAGAAAAUUGUAGCCUGAGUUUGGCUUCACCUUCCAACAUUUUCUUAAAUUAAAAUGACAAGAUUAUUUUUAAAGGGAGAUCAUGUGAAUAGUCGCUACAUAUGGCAAUUCUAGGAUAAUGUUGAAUGCACAAAUAAAGAAUUGUCUUAAAGUAAGCAAUGUGACCUAGCAUUAUACAGUAGUAUCUAGCUAAAGUUUGCUAACAUUAGCUGACGGUAGCCUCCAGAAGCUACUGAUCAUACCAGACAAAAUGAGGCUGUUGCAACUAAACAACUGAGUGUAUUGAAUUGAUCAGGGGUGUAUUUUAUUUGCUGAGUUCAGCAUUUCAUUUGUAAAAGGGUGAAUGGAUUAUUUACAUUAUAUACAAAAGUUGCAUACUUUCAUUUUAAAUCAUAUUUAGUUAGCAUGCCUGUAUGGAUAUUUGUUCGGACAACAAUUAAAAUUAAAAUUGAAUACAUUUUCUGUAUUCACAACCAACAAUAAGCACUUAACCACUAAACCUGUGGUAUUACUUGUAGUUAUUCCAUUGAGACAACAAGUCACUUGAAGUCACCCAGCAAUGAUAAAACUUUCCAGAUGAUGUAUUUACAGAAUCAUGAGUCAUUUUGUGUUAUUUUUCUAAAUAAAAAUAAUAUACAGUGUAUAAAGUAACAUGAACUUUGAAGUAAAUUUCUACAGUAAUAAUUGUUUGACUUUUAUCAAAGAAGAAAUCAUCUCAGUUUUGACAAAGCUUGACUUUUAUUAUUCCCUGGAAGCUAUGCAAUACACAGGUAGCAUUGGUCUCUCAAAGGAUAUAAACAUUCACCGUUGUAACUGAGAAGGUCUCUAAUCCAAAGAAUACUUACAGCAAUACAAAUAUAUACAUGCUUUAAUGUUUGUUUUUCUAUUUUCAUAUUUAUUCUCUUAGCAUGCGCUCUGUUUAUUCAUGUUUAUCAUCCGGCUUCUUUUACAUGCUUACCUAUUUACUGUGGUACUACUAAUUUGAUGGCACUCUUAUAGCAAAACUGAAUGGGCUUACACACUUGUUUGCAGUUUUAUAUGUAUUUAUGAGUCUUAAUCCUUGUCUCUGAAGGGCAUGAAAGAAGCGAUAUUGAAAUGUUUACCGAGGAGGUUAUUGUUAGUCUACAACUCAUAAUUCUGCUUUGUGAUCUAUUUUGCGUAUUUGUCAAUAAAUAAGCCUUCAUCUCUUU
Long non-coding RNA from Micropterus dolomieu (smallmouth bass), 1825 nucleotides. RefSeq lists it as uncharacterized. The transcript has 2 exons. The record is from RefSeq and is a predicted model, not a curated record. NCBI's taxonomy places the organism in Eukaryota, Metazoa, Chordata, Actinopteri, Centrarchiformes, Centrarchidae.